AGGGUGAUGCCAGAAGGUGGAGGCUGAAGGUGGAGGCUGAAGGUGGAUUUAGUUUCUUGAUGUCAGAGUUGGUCGGUAUAGAAGGAAGGUGGAUUUUUCUUCCUGGAGGUGGAUGCUUUGCAGGUGGGUGUCAGAGACUGCAGGUGGAGCUGUGUCAUUUUAGUCUGAA
Molecule: long non-coding RNA, 169 nt
Organism: Melanotaenia boesemani (Boeseman's rainbowfish)
Lineage: Eukaryota; Metazoa; Chordata; Actinopteri; Atheriniformes; Melanotaeniidae
Exons: 3
Source: RefSeq, a predicted model, not a curated record